GUGGGAGCAAAGCUUGCUCGCGAUGCAAGCGCCUCGGUUUCCUGGAAAACCGCGUCGUCUUCAUCGCGAGCAAGCUUUGCUCCCAC
Molecule: unclassified non-coding RNA, 86 nt
Filed under: Pseudomonas kilonensis
Lineage: Bacteria; Pseudomonadati; Pseudomonadota; Gammaproteobacteria; Pseudomonadales; Pseudomonadaceae
Source: RNAcentral